Molecule: ribosomal RNA, 582 nt
Filed under: gamma proteobacterium 235-13
Lineage: Bacteria; Pseudomonadati; Pseudomonadota; Gammaproteobacteria
Description: SSU rRNA
Rfam family: Bacterial small subunit ribosomal RNA
Source: RNAcentral
GAUGUCGACAGAGUUUGAUCCUGGCUCAGAUUGAACGCUGCGGCAGGCCUAACACAUGCAAGUCGAGCGGCAGCACGGGUACUUGUACCUGGUGGCGAGCGGCGGACGGGUGAGUAAUACCUAGGAAUCUGCCUGGUAGUGGGGGAUAACGUUCGGAAACGGACGCUAAUACCGCAUACGUCCUACGGGAGAAAGCAGGGGACCUUCGGGCCUUGCGCUAUCAGAUGAGCCUAGGUCGGAUUAGCUAGUUGGUGAGGUAAUGGCUCACCAAGGCUACGAUCCGUAACUGGUCUGAGAGGAUGAUCAGUCACACUGGAACUGAGACACGGUCCAGACUCCUACGGGAGGCAGCAGUGGGGAAUAUUGGACAAUGGGCGAAAGCCUGAUCCAGCCAUGCCGCGUGUGUGAAGAAGGUCUUCGGAUUGUAAAGCACUUUAAGUUGGGAGGAAGGGCAUUAACCUAAUACGUUAGUGUUUUGACGUUACCGACAGAAUAAGCACCGGCUAACUCUGUGCCAGCAGCCGCGGUAAUACAGAGGGUGCAAGCGUUAAUCGGAAUUACUGGGCGUAAAGCGCCCCGUUA